RNAcentral lists this long non-coding RNA (570 nucleotides) under Homo sapiens (human). RNAcentral describes it as "HSALNT0166965". Lineage: Eukaryota; Metazoa; Chordata; Mammalia; Primates; Hominidae. The record is from RNAcentral.
UUUCACAUACUGCUCUGUGCGGCUGCUGCCAGGGAUACAAGGGCAAAAGCAACCCCGGGACACUGCCCUCAUGGAGCUUACAGUCUAACUGGGGCGACCAGGCAGGCACAUACAGCUAUAGAAUUAAGUGGGAAGUGAUAAGUGACAUGCAUGUCCUUUGCUAACACAAGCUGCAGGUUCAGAGCCUGAAAGAGGGGACUUCCGGCUAGACGAUCUAGGAGCUCUUCCUUGGAGAACAGUUUCCACUCGUGGAGGCUAAGUGUCAGAAACAUGUUCCAAGUGGAGAGAAAGCUUGAGCAAAGGCAACAAGUUGAAAAAGGACAUGUCGCCCACCCAUAGAUAGAUAAAACACUGCAUCUCCUCGUGGAUCCAGCGCCCAGUAUUUACCCGCCAGGAAGUUUUCCUGCCCCGCGCAGCAGCUGAAAAAAACACACUCCUGGGGCAUCCUUCCCUGGCGUUGGUUCGUGGACAGCAAGCCUCCCAGAACUGGCCUAGGUCGGGAAGGUGCAGCCACGCGGGAAUCAAUGGUUCAGGAACCGGAUCUGUGCAGCCUCGCCCGCAGCGUCUCGG